UCGCACACGUAGUUAAAAGUAUCGUAAAGAUUUAAUCGACCAAUGAGGCAACGUUUCUACAACCCACCGAGCGCGAGGCACCCAUGUUACAUCUACCACCUGCUCUGCGCAUGCGCGGAAGCGACCCCGAAGCCUAUAAAUGUAGCUCAUCAGCGCGAGCUCGACCCGAACAGUGAGAACGCUUAGCUAGCUGUGCUAACGUAGCAUAGCAUGUGGUGAAGUCGACACUGACACACGGAGUCAAAAAUGAUAAUUUAAGUGGAGAUUAGAAAGUAGUAUCGUGUGCCUUAUUGGACCAGAGCUGGAGAAGAAGCUUUUAUCUGGAAAAUAAAUAAAAUAAAUGAUCUACGAGGGGAGACCGGCGCGUUGGUGUUAGCGUGCUAACGCAGGCUAACUAGCAUUGUGGCUAACCGGAAAUCAGACCAACAAGCCAAGAUUUGUGACGAGGUGAAGUAAUGGACGCUGACUCGAAAGCUACCCCCGAGCGAAUUCUGCUCGAACCAUACAAGUACCUGUUGCAACUUCCAGGGAAGCAGGUGAGGACGAAACUAUCCCAAGCUUUUAACCACUGGCUCAAUGUUCCAGAGGACAAACUUCAGGUAAAGCUUCUUCUUACUGAGAGGACUUUAGAGCAGCGUGUUGUUGCAGACCUGUUCAGACAGGUG
Long non-coding RNA from Labrus mixtus (cuckoo wrasse), 665 nucleotides. RefSeq lists it as uncharacterized. The record is from RefSeq and is a predicted model, not a curated record. NCBI's taxonomy places the organism in Eukaryota, Metazoa, Chordata, Actinopteri, Labriformes, Labridae. The transcript is spliced from 3 exons.